RNAcentral lists this ribosomal RNA (1155 nucleotides) under Triticum aestivum (bread wheat). RNAcentral's name for it is "partial small subunit ribosomal RNA". Lineage: Eukaryota; Viridiplantae; Streptophyta; Magnoliopsida; Poales; Poaceae. The record is from RNAcentral.
AUGGCUUUUGCAAACCCGACAUGCGGCAAGGAUUGGCCGGUGCUGCCAGCUGGCGUCAAGUUCGAUCCCACGGAUCAGGAGCUGAUCGAGCACCUUGAGGCCAAAGUGAGUGCUGGCAGCAUGAGAUCUCACCCUCUCAUCGAUUUGUUCAUACCAACCAUCGACAGCGAGCACGGCAUAUGCUACACACAUCCUGAGAAAUUUCCAGGUAUCACACAGAGUGGCCUAAGCAAGCAUUUCUUCCAGCGCAAUUCUAGGGUGUUCAAAAGGGGCACGUGGACGCGUCGCAAGAUACAGUCGGAGUGCGACAUGCACGCGAUGUGGCACAACACUGGCAAUACCUUGCCGGUGAUGGUCAACGGCCGGCAGACGGGCAACAAAAAGGUUCUGGUGCUGCACACCAACAAGAAAUUCGACCAGCAGAGGACCAACUGGGUGAUGCACCAGUACCACCUUGGGGACCUGGAGGAAGAGAAGGAGCGGGAGCUGGUCCUCUGCAAGAUUUUCUACCAGACGAACACUAGGGCCAGGAGUAAAAAGAUUAUAAUCAACAAUCGACUCUACCAGCGUCAGACCGUUAGAUGUCAAUCUAACAGCAAUCGUGCUUCUUCAGUCUCUGGUCUUCCUGCCCCAGCCGCCCAAACCAGCGCCGUCAGAACCGCCUGCUCCCGCCUCCCGUGGCUGGCUGUGCUGCCAGGCAGGCCUCACGGCCCCAUCAUAUACCCGCAUCCCUGGCCUGUCUAUCCCUCUACUCACCCUGUUAUUUUCCGGCGACGGCAGCCAAACCAGUCAACCCUCGUACUCUCCACCGCGUGGGCAGCCACUGCCGUGUCUUCCCUGGCUCCGUGUAUUUCCCUUCGUAGGCCUCGCCAUCGUCCACCGCCCUGGUGCUCUCGACGCGGAAGUGCCUCCUUAUUGCUCACAAAAAAUGAAUACCCCCUGCCAGCUGGGACCCACCACAAUGGGAGGCUGACUUGUGGGCCUACUAAGUUGACGGGGAUGGAGGGCUUUGUCAACUUAGUCAAUAUGAUCGAUUCUAGCUCCAAUGACCCUGGGUCCACGGCCGCAGCAAGGAAGUGCCUCCUUAUUACGUGCAAAAUAAUUAUUCCUCCACCUGACAGCGGGGACCCACGGACGGGCCACCAUAUUUCGUGA